AGUUAUCUAAUAAAUAUGAAAAAGUUGGAAUUAAACUUGAACCCUAUGGAGUUAAUAAGAACUCAUCUAAAAAUAUUCGUCACAAAUAAGUAUAACUAUGACAUCAUUAAGAUGCCUUUCAAAUUAACUAAUUAUUGAGACUCAUGAUCUGAAAAUUCCUUUUUUCCCUAAUGCUAUCAAAAUCGUUUUUUUAUUUAUCGGUCCUUUAAUAUACAGACCAAGCUUAUUCCUGCAAAUCCAUAAAACAAGUAUAACAACGAUUCCAGUGCUAGGCGGUGCAUAGCGUGUCUCCGGAAAAUUUAUUUCUGGGGCUCCCAAAGCAAUUUUCGCAUUUUGCAUUGCUCUAGAUAAGCCAUUUAUUGGAGAAAGUUAUAAAAGGCUUUUUCGUUUGGAGGGACAUUUAGUAGCGAUUCAGCAUAGGAAGCCAUAUCAUCUAAAAGAAAGACGACUACCAAGAAAUAGAAACUUUCAUAAAGGAAACAGCUGUAUAAUGUUCAGUACAACAGGAAGUACCACCUUAAAAAAGCAGCGCCCCUCAACCAGUUAUUUGGUACGACCUAAACUGGGAGCAGUGAAGUCUCUUUAUAGCAAUAGACCCCUAUCAGCUCUUUCUAAUGAAAAACGAAAAAAAAGCAGAAAGUCAACUACCCAACCAAAAAUGGAUAUCAGAAGGAAGCCGGAUUAUGCAGAUACAGCCUAUCGUGAAGCAGUAGGUCGAUUGAGGAUACUCAUGGCUGAAAGUUACAUACCAACUAGAAGGAUUUAUGGUUCCUCCAGACCAAUAAGAGAAUUAGAUAGCGCUGGCGAAGAAACAGAUAAUCAGUCAAUUCUAAGUGGCGCAAGCAGAACUUCAAGAAGGCCUCAUUAUAAUUAUAGUUUUAAUCCCAUUACCCCCAAAAAGUAUUAUUAUCCACCAUUAAAAAGCAAUGUGGGAACGUUGCGGAGUGAAUCUGUUGUUGAGAAAUCCCUACCUCAUCAGGAGCCAUCAAAGGUGGAACUACAUCCUACCGCUGCACCUCCGGAACUAAUGUCUUUUAUUGAAAGACAAGAAGAUUACAUUGAGCAGCUCGAAAAAGAAUCGAGAUUUUGCCGGGACGAAUUAUCUUCCUUGCUGUCCAAAGUAAAAGAUGUCAUCAGCGAAAAUGAGAAUUUACACGAAAGACAAAAAUCUAAACUGAUUAAGUCCGUAUUUGAACACUUGGAAACCGAGACAGAAACCGAGACCGACUUAGAAUUAGGGGACAAACAUAAGUCCCCGAAGAAAAUUAAAAAAACCCGAAUUAUGGAUGGACCGGCAAUAGUGUUUGAAUCGCGAAUUUCGGAAUUGGAAGCGCAGCUAACGCAAGCAAAAAUCGACCUGAAAAAAGCACAAGAAGAGAAUGAACAACUAAGAAAAAAGAUGUCGGAAGGCACUUUAUUGGAAGGAAAUAGUUACGAGAAUUUUAAGCGUCAACUUGAUAACUGCAACAGGGAAAAAGAAGAACUUUUAACUAAACUAAAAGCUCUUCAGUCAGCCCUGGCCACCCUAAGAAACAAGGAGAACGACACUUGUGAUCAGGUAAAAAGAAGCUUAGACGUUGCUGAGCAAGCUCAAUAUGAAAAAAAUGCCGCUGAGUUGGAAAUUCGAAGACUCAAAGACGAAUUAGAGCGACAGCAUAUGAAGUUGAGGGAUACUAUUGCUGACCAGAGUCGUAGAGUAUCAGAUGAAAGAUCCGCAGUUGAACGACGUUAUUCUCAGCAAAUUGAGCAGCUGACUGCUGAAGUCGGUGUUCAAUGGGAAACUACUAACAAACUUCAACUUGAACUAGACAAGCAAAGAAGAGAAAAUGCUGACCUAAGAAGGGAAUGUACCCAAAAACAGGCUUUAAUUGACGAACUGAAAAAGGACAUGCAGACCAAAAUACUUACCCUGCAGUCAGAUAUUGGAGUCACUGGGGCAGAAAAGAGUGCUCUUGAACAACAAAUUUCUUCUUUAAAUAUGGCCAAUGAAAGAACUGAACGACAGUACAAACAGGAGAUUACAAGACUUCAAGCAGAGAUACAAUCUUUGAGGCAAAGAAUGGAUAGAGCCGAUGCUGACUUGAUUCAUAGUAGAAGAGAGAAUAUUCGGUUAAAUGAACAAGUGGCCGCUCUAGAGAAAGAAAUAAACCUUAAUACUGCCCUCAACGAAGAGCGUACCAAGUCAGUAACUCCAAGAUCAGGAGAAAUUAUGGCUUUACCUCCUCCAACUCCCAAAAAGGAGGAGCGUGAUAAAGAACUGGGUUCCCUAUUACAGGAUAUGGAAAACAGACAUGGGAGGAAAUACGGGAACUACAAACUAGCUUAGAUCGAUUAAACAAUAGGUUUAGUCAGACACAAUAUUCCACGAUGAAUUUACCAGAAGAUCAACAUGCAACAAAUACUCAAAGAACACUUCCCGCAUCACAAGCCACCCCUACUGCAUCAUUCCAGGAGCCCCAGAACCUCAAAAAGUCAGAAAGCAAGUCAUCUAUCAAAAUGCGCAGCCGA
Molecule: unclassified non-coding RNA, 2508 nt
Filed under: Anthonomus grandis grandis
Lineage: Eukaryota; Metazoa; Arthropoda; Insecta; Coleoptera; Curculionidae
Description: serologically defined colon cancer antigen 8 homolog
Source: RNAcentral